Molecule: long non-coding RNA, 3769 nt
Filed under: Panicum hallii
Lineage: Eukaryota; Viridiplantae; Streptophyta; Magnoliopsida; Poales; Poaceae
Description: long non-coding RNA (PHAL_LNC000515)
Source: RNAcentral
UUUUUGAAGAGUCCCAUCGAACUCUGUUUCUUUGAAGAGUCCCAUCAAACUAUGUUGUUAUUUUACAUAAAGAUUGGGAUUAGUUUAGGCCAAAAUUUUCAUACUUUGACCCUUAAUCUUCCUUAAAAAAACUAUAUAAAUCAACUAUGUAAAACUGAUGUUACUAAGUCCACCAUGAAAAAUAUUUCAAUAAAUGUAACUCUUCAAAUAAUAUAUCUCCAUGGAUAUAGCUUGCCAAAGUAAGGUAAUGAAAGAUCGUGUGUCAAAACCAGGCGAGCCACAGAUAUGCAGAUUUCUAAUAAAGAGUUACGUGUGGACCAUAUCAUAUUUAAUUUCUUUCUAAUAUCUUUUUUUUCUGGAUGAUGGUCUAUCUUCUAAUAUCUAUAGAUGAUGUAUAUCUGCCGUUCUUAGCUUCUUGUAGCUGCUGAUAGCCAUUUCUGAACAUCUUUUUUAUUCUGGCGCACGUAUUACUCAUUUGGUCAACUUCUACCGCUUCUUUUUUUUCCCUCAUUUGGUCAACUUUGACCUCGAUCAAAUGCUGCGUGCACACAUUCGCAGGCGGCGUUGGACGCGGAUAGGGGGGGCCGCUAGAUCAACGGCAGGGUUGGUGGCAAAUGGGGACCCGUGAUUCCCGAUGUGCUAUCUAGUACGGGAAAACGGUUGUGUUGCCGGCCGGAUCCCCUCAGGAUAUUCCGAAUUUACUAUGAACGCAGAAACUGGCCGCUACGAGCUUCGAAAAUUUUGGUGGUGAACAAGAAUGCAAGAUAUAUUUCUUUACUCCAUUCUACAGUGCAUACCUUGGGGGACUGGUGGGCCUUGAGCGGCUCGAACGUCUCCGGCUUCUUGCUGCCGAUCGACAGGGAGACGGGUCGUCAAAGAGUCAAUUCACUUCACAUCGAGCAGGAGGCUUGGGAGAAUAGAGAGUAGCUUGGAUCACUUACUCGUAGACAUCGGCCUUGAACUGCUCGAACCCGGUCUUCAAGCGCUCGACGGCGUCCGCCAUGGCCUCCUGCAAGAGCCACAGAUCAUGUCGUCAACACAGCUGUGCCGUCCGUCCACAACAAGAUCACCAGAUGCGUCAUGCAGAUUUCUCGGGGUGGGGGGGGGGGGGGGAGUCAUGCGAAUUGCGAGCGACGAGUCUAGAAAGGGAAAGAAGAUGGGUUGAAGCAUGGAGGAUGGAGGAGGAGGGGGCUGACCUUUGGGCUGCAGAGGAGAGCAGGUGGUGAACUGUGGAAGGAUUGACGAAGACUGUGGAAGGCUUUGCUUCGCUGUAGAGCUGCCCCGUCCAUGCCUCCCCGGGGGACCUUUUUUAUAGGAGGGGGGAGGCACGGGAAGCAGCGGCUCGCCUUCUUUUCCUGCCCCCCCGGUCGUGCAGCUGGACGGAUGGACGCGGGGAACGGCGAACCGGUCCAGCACGAGACGUGUCAUCGUGCGGGACGGGGUACACCACUAACCCACCGAGCUUCCAAAGGUCCAUCCUGCAGGCCGCCUUCGCCUUGACCUCCGGCUGGCCGCGGCCGGGCAGGCGUGGCGCCGGGCUUGGGGUGCCGUCCUUCCCCGGGGAAACGAGGAGGACGAUGGAGAGGCUGGAGCCGGAUGGGCUGAACGCCGCGGUGGACACGGCUCACGACGCGUGGCGCCCUGCCGGUUUAGCGGAGCCGGAGAAAACGAGGGGGCGCGGUGUGAAGACCCAAGAGGUAAAUACUUAAUUUUAUUUAUUAACUAAUCCACUAAUUAGUAAUUUUGAAGAACAUAAGUAUUAAAAAUCCAUGAGAGAAAUUGGAUCUCGUAACUGAUCAUCAAAUUACCUCACCCCCUUCUCAUUUCUCAAAUAUUCUAGCACAUAUAUAUAGAUAUAUAUUUAUCUUUAUCCAUUAUAGAAUUUAGUUAGAAAUUAAUCUAUGCACUCUUCAUCGUCGUUGAUAGUUUUCUUUUUGCAUGGCAUCUGCAUCUGGGUUUGACAUUUUUCUAACUAAAUUCUUAGUUUGGGCUAUGUGUUUAACAUGGAAAUUGGUGCUAUCAUAGCUUCCUGCAUAUACAGGGGUGGAUCCGACCCACUUGGUGCUGUUACUUGAUAGCAAUGGAUUUUUAAAAUCCAAGGCUAAAGUUAUCUUGAUAUUAGAGAAAAUCAUAUCGUAAAUUUGACACUAGUGACAUCAAUGGUUCUCUAUUCUAGAUUACCGCCUAUGUAGAUAUGUAUACAUGGUCUAAACCGUAAGUUAGUAUCUUUAUAACAGAAAUAAAUAAUUUAGAAUUUUUUAUUGGUGUGCACUGGGAUACUUUUUUAUAAUGAUAGAUGCAGUUAAUCAAGAAGCCAAUUUAGGGAUUAUUUUCAAUUGUUUUUAGUAAUAGCACAUAUGGAUAAUUUAUAUAUAUAGAUUUAGGAUGUUACUUUAUUAGAUGAUUUUUAUACUAAAAUGGCAGCGACGGGCUACUUUUUAUGCAUGUCCAUGAAGCAUACAACCAAGAAAAUGUUGUAAUGAAACUGAGAUCUUAGUAAACCUUGUGCUUUUCACGAGCAUACAACCUUGCAAUUUCUCAUAUUAAUACUAAGGUACAUAUCUGUCUGGUGUAUACGAGAGGGGGGAAAAAAAGAAUGUGCAACCAAAGCAGAGACAAAAAGAACAUGAGCAACCAUUUAGAGAUCUACUGGAAGGAACAGAGAGCAAGCAACCAAACUUUACUUCUGGUUUAAAGCGUGUGAUCAAUGUGGAUUAUUACUGUUGAUUUUUCUAGCUUAUUAGCAUGCACUGUAGCACGCAAAAGCACAUAGGCAUAAAGACCCCCCCCCCCCUCUGUUGAGUGCAAGAUUUUCAGAAAGUUUAGGGGUCAACUUUCUUAAUCUUUUUUUGUGAAGACAGCUUUGUAGUACAAAAUCAUUCAUGUCUCACAUAAAAAUGGUAGCACCAGCAUUUCAGGGAGAGAGAGAGAGAGAGAAGGGGCAUCAAGAUGUAGUAGAAAGGUAAAGUAUGCAUGAUAGUAUUAUGAAAAAGGCUUAUACAGCUGAUGUCUCUUGACCACAAAAGCGGUCUAAUUACGCACCAUAUAUAUUACAUAUAAGCUCCACCUUAGAAAUUAAAGCAGUAGAAGCUGCUAUUGCUUAUUACAUUCACAGAUAGGACGAUCCGGUUUGUAGCUGUCGAAAUAGGAGGUAAGUCCUCCACGCGUUGACAUCGACCGGGUGCAUAUACGUCGGUAUGUAUGUAUCUGAUGUAGUAGGAGUUUGCGGCCUAUUUCUCCCAUGUGUCGAAGAUUCCGUUCACGAAGUCGUAGCGGGCACCGACCAGCUUGAGGGUCCCGUUGGCCACGCCUUCCUUGACCCAGGGGUAGGUCAAGAGGUUCAAAAGGGACACGUUCACGGCCUCCUGCAGAAACAUUCAGAAAUGCAGGAUCCUCUCAUGAGCAAACCAAUUCGAUCUUUAUGAAAUCACGCGCGUAUGGGCAGCGGGUAACCAAAGAUCGCCAUGGCAACCAGGUCGUAGCCCGUGCGUACCUUCUCCAAGAUGGAGCACUGGUCAUCAAACGGAACCGUGGGGUGCUGGCUCAGCACCUUCUUCUUGGCCAGGAAGCCGAUCCUGACCCAGUCCUCGACGAAGUGGCUGGGCGCGUCGCCAAACAAACAAAGAACAUCCUCGAGUCAGAGACAUGAUGCUGCAGGGGUAGCAGGCUCCUCCCAUCUAAAACUUUGUUCCACCGUGACUUACAAGGUGUCGGGUGCGCCGUCCUGGAGGGAGAGGAGCGCCUUGAUGCCACCACAGCGGCUGUGGCC